Molecule: non-coding RNA, 193 nt
Organism: Plectropomus leopardus (leopard coralgrouper)
Lineage: Eukaryota; Metazoa; Chordata; Actinopteri; Perciformes; Serranidae
Source: RefSeq, a predicted model, not a curated record
GGACACACACCUCAGGACAAGAGACAGGAGGGACAGCAGGAGUACCUGCGUCAGCUGGAGCUCAUCAGACUGCAGUAUCAGCAGGAGAUGAGACAGAUGAGACAGAGAGCUGAAGUUCAGCCUCAGCAACAACACAAACACGAGACCUUUGUGGUGGAGAAACCCAGAGAGCCGAGAGCCUCACCUGCACAGG